This 388-nucleotide ribosomal RNA is filed under the name uncultured bacterium. RNAcentral's name for it is "bacterial SSU rRNA". It matches the Rfam family "Bacterial small subunit ribosomal RNA", at positions 30 to 416 of the family's 1533-position model. The record is from RNAcentral.
AUUGAACGCUGGCGGCAUGCCUUACACAUGCAAGUCGAACGGUAACGGGCCUUCGGGUGCCGACGAGUGGCGAACGGGUGAGUAAUGCAUCGGAACGUACCUUUCAGUGGGGGAUAACGUAGCGAAAGUUACGCUAAUACCGCAUAUUCUGUGAGCAGGAAAGCAGGGGAUCGCAAGACCUUGCGCUGAUUGAGCGGCCGAUGUCAGAUUAGCUAGUUGGGUGAGGUUAAAAGGCUUCACCAAGGCGACGAUCUGUAGCGGGUCUGAGAGGAUGAUCCGCCACACUGGAACUGAGACACGGUCCAGACUCCUACGGGAGGCAGCAGUGGGGAAUAUUGCACAAUGGGCGAAAGCCUGAUGCAGCGACGCCGCGUGAGGGAUGACGGCC